Molecule: transfer RNA, 77 nt
Filed under: Solidesulfovibrio aerotolerans
Lineage: Bacteria; Pseudomonadati; Thermodesulfobacteriota; Desulfovibrionia; Desulfovibrionales; Desulfovibrionaceae
Description: Desulfovibrio aerotolerans tRNA-Arg
Rfam family: tRNA
About the family: Transfer RNA (tRNA) molecules are approximately 80 nucleotides in length. Their secondary structure includes four short double-helical elements and three loops (D, anti-codon, and T loops).
Source: RNAcentral
GCUCCCGUAGCUCAGUCGGAUAGAGCGAUCGCCUCCUAAGCGAUAGGCCGUGCGUUCGAAUCGCGCCGGGAGCACCA